RNAcentral lists this ribosomal RNA (467 nucleotides) under uncultured bacterium. RNAcentral's name for it is "partial 16S ribosomal RNA". It matches the Rfam family "Bacterial small subunit ribosomal RNA", at positions 28 to 506 of the family's 1533-position model. The record is from RNAcentral.
GACGAACGCUGGCGGCGUGCUUAACACAUGCAAGUCGAACGGAAAGGCCCUGCUUUUGUGGGGUGCUCGAGUGGCGAACGGGUGAGUAACACGUGAGUAACCUGCCCUUGACUUUGGGAUAACUUCAGGAAACUGGGGCUAAUACCGGUUAGGAGCUCCUGCUGCAUGGUGGGGGUUGGAAAGUUUCGGCGGUUGGGGAUGGACUCGCGGCUGAUCAGCUUGUUGGUGGGGUAGUGGCUUACCAAGGCUUUGACGGGUAGCCGGCCUGAGAGGGUGACCGGCCACAUUGGGACUGAGAAACGGCCCAGACUCCUACGGGAGGCAGCAGUGGGGAAUAUUGCACAAUGGGCGGAAGCCUGAUGCAGCAACGCCGCGUGCGGGAGGACGGCCUUCGGGUUGGAAACCGCUUUCGCCUGUGACGAAGCGUGAGGGACGGGAAUGGGGAAAGAAGCACCGGCUAACUACGG